Molecule: ribosomal RNA, 497 nt
Filed under: uncultured bacterium
Lineage: Bacteria
Description: partial 16S ribosomal RNA
Rfam family: Bacterial small subunit ribosomal RNA
Source: RNAcentral
GAUGAACGCUGGCGGCGUGCCUAAUACAUGCAAGUCGAGCGAACGGACGAGAAGCUUGCUUCUCUGAUGUUAGCGGCGGACGGGUGAGUAACACGUGGAUAACCUACCUAUAAGACUGGGAUAACUUCGGGAAACCGGAGCUAAUACCGGAUAAUAUUUUGAACCGCAUGGUUCAAAAGUGAAAGACGGUCUUGCUGUCACUUAUAGAUGGAUCCGCGCUGCAUUAGCUAGUUGGUAAGGUAACGGCUUACCAAGGCAACGAUGCAUAGCCGACCUGAGAGGGGGAUUCGCCACACUGGAACUGAGACACGGUCCAGACUCCUACGGGAGGCAGCAGUAGGGAAUCUUCCGCAAUGGGCGAAAGCCUGACGGAGCAACGCCGCGUGAGUGAUGAAGGUCUUCGGAUCGUAAAACUCUGUUAUUAGGGAAGAACAUAUGUGUAAGUAACUGUGCACAUCUUGACGGUACCUAAUCAGAAAGCCACGGCUAACUACGUG